GGUCCCAUGGUCCAGUGGUUAGGACAUUGGACUUUGAAUUCAAUAACUCAAGUUCAAAUCUUGGUGGGUCGG
This is a non-coding RNA of Cucurbita maxima (winter squash), 72 nucleotides long. The record is from the annotation of a RefSeq genome assembly. NCBI's taxonomy places the organism in Eukaryota, Viridiplantae, Streptophyta, Magnoliopsida, Cucurbitales, Cucurbitaceae.